GCUGGGCGCGGUGGCACACGCCUAUAAUCCCAGCAGCUCGGGAGGCUGAGACAGAAGGAUCGUGAGUUCAAGCCAGCCUCAGCAAAAGUGAGGCGCCAAGCAACUCAGUGAGACCCUGUCUCUA
RNAcentral lists this small RNA (124 nucleotides) under Marmota monax (woodchuck). The record is from RNAcentral. Lineage: Eukaryota; Metazoa; Chordata; Mammalia; Rodentia; Sciuridae.